CGGAAGGAUCAUGAAUGAAUCCACCCACGCAAAGGGUUGUCGCUGGCCUCCAGAGGAGAGGCAUGUGCACACCUGGAGCACCCCUUUUUAAUCCCCUCACAACCUAACAAUGUAGAAUGUAUGUUCUUUGGGUAACAAGCACAACUUUCAGCAACGGAUCUCUUGGCUCUUGCAUCGAUGAAGAACGCAGCGAAAUGCGAUAAGUAAUGUGAAUUGCAGAAUUCAGUGAAUCAUCGAAUCUUUGAACGCACCUUGCGCCCCUUGGUAUUCCGAGGAGCAUGCCUGUUUGAGUGUCAUGAAAUUCUCAACUGCUUCAACCUCGUGGUUGCAGCGAAGUUGGACUUUGGAGGGUUAUUGCUGGUUUUCAUAAGCUGGCUCCUCUUGAACUUUAUCGAGCAUUCUGGGAGCACGGUAACAUUGAUGUAGUAAUGACUUGCAUCGUUGUGAAAAGUGCCCCCAGAAAGCUCCCUCUGGUGCCUUCAAUGGCUUGGACAACCUCUUUGACCUCAAAUCAGGUAGGACCACCCGCCGAACUUAAGCAUAUCAAUAAGCGGAGGAAAAGAAACUAACAAGGAUUCCCUUAGUAACUGCGAGUGAAGCGGGAAAAGCUCAAAUUUGGAAUCUGGCGUGCCAUCCUGGCCGUCCGAGUUGUAGUCUGGAGAAGCGUCAUCUGUGCUGGACCGUGUACAA
This 690-nucleotide ribosomal RNA is filed under the name uncultured Basidiomycota. RNAcentral's name for it is "eukaryotic LSU rRNA". The stretch from base 143 to 296 matches the Rfam family "5.8S ribosomal RNA". The record is from RNAcentral. Lineage: Eukaryota; Fungi; Basidiomycota.